RNAcentral lists this unclassified non-coding RNA (316 nucleotides) under Hevea brasiliensis (rubber tree). The record is from RNAcentral. Lineage: Eukaryota; Viridiplantae; Streptophyta; Magnoliopsida; Malpighiales; Euphorbiaceae.
AAAAAAAAAGAAAAAGCCCAUACCUUCUCUGGUUCUAUCCAUCCAAAUGAAACCCUAGAUUUUCACCCAUUCCACGCCAUGCAUCCAUGAUUCUUCCCUGAACACCAACCCUUAUCGUCGCCGAGGAGGAGAUCGUCGUCUUUGUCAUGUAUAAAGACCGAGGGAUUGGUGGCUCCAAGACGGAGGUGGGACCUGUCGCUCGGAAGCGGAUCAACGAUGCCCUUGAUAAGCAUCUCGAGCGAUCUUCUCCCUCUACUUCCAGAACAAUCAACGGCAAGGAAUUUUCGUCUCAGUCUCUUCUCAUGGGGAAGCAACC